GACGAACGCUGGCGGCGUGCUUAACACAUGCAAGUCGAACGAUGAAGCCGGAGCUUGCUCUGGUGAAUUAGUGGCGAACGGGUGAGUAACACGUGAGUAACCUGCCCUUGACUCUGGGAUAACUGCUAGAAACUGUAGCUAAUACCGGAUACGACCCUCGGAGGCAUCUCCUGGGGGUGGAAAGAAUUUCGGUCAAGGAUGGACUCGCGGCCUAUCAGCUAGUUGGUGAGGUAACGGCUCACCAAGGCGACGACGGGUAGCCGGCCUGAGAGGGUGACCGGCCACACUGGGACUGAGACACGGCCCAGACUCCUACGGGAGGCAGCAGUGGGGAAUAUUGCACAAUGGGCGCAAGCCUGAUGCAGCAACGCCGCGUGAGGGAUGACGGCCUUCGGGUUGUAAACCUCUUUUAGCAGGGAAGAAGCGAAAGUGACGGUACCUGCAGAAAAAGCACCGGCUAACUACGUGCCAGCCGCCGCCGUAA
This 484-nucleotide ribosomal RNA is filed under the name uncultured bacterium. Its description in RNAcentral is "partial 16S ribosomal RNA". It matches the Rfam family "Bacterial small subunit ribosomal RNA", at positions 28 to 523 of the family's 1533-position model. The record is from RNAcentral.